CGUGUGCUCUUCCGAUCUCAAAAACACAGGUAUCUGCAAAAUCGUAAGAUGACGUAUAGGUACUGACACCUGCCCGGUGCUGGAAGGUUAAGAGGAUAGCUUAGCGAAAGCGAAGGUUAGAAUUGAAGCCCCAGUAAACGGCGGCCGUAACAAUAACGGUCCUAAGGUAGCGAAAUUCCUUGUCGGGUAAGUUCCGACCUGCACGAAAGGUGUAAUGAUUUGGGCACUGUCUCAACGAGAGACUCGGUGAAAUUAUAAUACCCGUGAAGAUGCGGGUUACCCGCGACAGGACGGAAAGACCCCAUGGAGCUUUACUGUAGCUUGAUAUUGAGUAUUUGUUAAACAUGUACAGGAUAGGUAGGAGCCAGAGAAGAUAGGACGCCAGUUUUAUCAGAGGCAAUGUUGGGAUACUACCCUUGUUUGAUGGGUCCAGAGAUCGG
This 440-nucleotide ribosomal RNA is filed under the name Vibrio cholerae. RNAcentral's name for it is "partial 23S ribosomal RNA". It matches the Rfam family "Bacterial large subunit ribosomal RNA", at positions 1783 to 2229 of the family's 2925-position model. The record is from RNAcentral. Lineage: Bacteria; Pseudomonadati; Pseudomonadota; Gammaproteobacteria; Vibrionales; Vibrionaceae.